GGGGAUUUAGCUCAGUGGUAGAGCGCUUGCCUAGCAAGCGCAAGGCCCUGGGUUCGAGCCCCAGCUCUG
Molecule: transfer RNA, 69 nt
Filed under: Rattus norvegicus (Norway rat)
Lineage: Eukaryota; Metazoa; Chordata; Mammalia; Rodentia; Muridae
Rfam family: tRNA
About the family: Transfer RNA (tRNA) molecules are approximately 80 nucleotides in length. Their secondary structure includes four short double-helical elements and three loops (D, anti-codon, and T loops). Further hydrogen bonds mediate the characteristic L-shaped molecular structure. tRNAs have two regions of fundamental functional importance: the anti-codon, which is responsible for specific mRNA codon recognition, and the 3' end, to which the tRNAs corresponding amino acid is attached (by aminoacyl-tRNA synthetases). tRNAs cope with the degeneracy of the genetic code in two manners: having more than one tRNA (with a specific anti-codon) for a particular amino acid; and 'wobble' base-pairing, i.e. permitting non-standard base-pairing at the 3rd anti-codon position.
Source: Rfam by way of RNAcentral